GACGAACGCUGGCGGCGUGCUUAACACAUGCAAGUCGAACGGAAAGGCCCUGCUUUUGUGGGGUGCUCGAGUGGCGAACGGGUGAGUAACACUUGAGUAACCUGCCCUUUACUUUGGUAUAACUUCAGGAAACUGGUGCUAAUACCGGAUAGGAUCUCCUGCUGCAUGGUGGGGUUUGGAAUGUUUCGUCGGUUGGGGAUGGACUCGCGGCUUAUCAGCUUGUUUGUGGGGUAGUGGCUUACCAAGGAUUUGACGGGUAGCCGGCAUGAGAGGGUGACAGGCCAAAUGGGGACUGAGAUACGGAACAGAAUAAUACGGGAGGCAGCAGAGGGGAAUAGUGCACAAUGGGAGGAAGCAUGAUGCAGAAAAGCAGCGGGCGGGAUGAAGGCAUUCGGGUUGUAAAAAGCUUUAGAAUGUGAAGAAGAGUGAGUGACGGUAAUGGGUAAAGAAGCACCGGCUAACUACGUG
This 468-nucleotide ribosomal RNA is filed under the name uncultured bacterium. RNAcentral's name for it is "partial 16S ribosomal RNA". It matches the Rfam family "Bacterial small subunit ribosomal RNA", at positions 28 to 507 of the family's 1533-position model. The record is from RNAcentral.